GGUACACGAGCGGCGAACGGGUGAGUAACACGUGAGCAACCUGCCCCUGACUCUGGGAUAAGCGGUGGAAACGCCGUCUAAUACCGGAUACGACCCGCCACCUCAUGGUGGAGGGUGGAAAGUUUUUCGGUCAGGGAUGGGCUCGCGGCCUAUCAGCUUGUUGGUGGGGUAACGGCCUACCAAGGCGAUUACGGGUAGCCGGCCUGAGAGGGCGACCGGCCACACUGGGACUGAGACACGGCCCAGACUCCUGCGGGAGGCAGCAGUGGGGAAUAUUGCGCAAUGGGCGAAAGCCUGACGCAGCGACGCCGCGUGGGGGAUGACGGCCUUCGGGUUGUAAACCUCUUUUACCACCAACGCAGGCUCGAAGUUUUCUUCGGGUUGACGGUAGGUGGGGAAUAAGGACCGGCUAACUACGUGCCAGCAGCCGCGGUAAUACGUAGGGUCCGAGCGUUGUCCGGAAUUAUUGGGCGUAAAGAGCUCGUAGGCGGCGUGUCGCGUCUGCUGUGAAAGACCGGG
Molecule: ribosomal RNA, 519 nt
Filed under: Nocardiopsis sp. SJKR0504
Lineage: Bacteria; Bacillati; Actinomycetota; Actinomycetes; Streptosporangiales; Nocardiopsidaceae
Description: bacterial SSU rRNA
Rfam family: Bacterial small subunit ribosomal RNA
Source: RNAcentral